CUGAGGCGCGAAAGCGUGGGGAGCGAACAGGAUUAGAUACCCUGGUAGUCCACGCCCUAAACGAUGUCAACUAGUUGUUGGGGAUUCAUUUCUUCAGUAACGUAGCUAACGCGUGAAGUUGACCGCCUGGGGAGUACGGUCGCAAGAUUAAAACUCAAAGGAAUUGACGGGGACCCGCACAAGCGGUGGAUGAUGUGGAUUAAUUCGAUGCAACGCGAAAAACCUUACCUACCCUUGACAUGCCACUAACGAAGCAGAGAUGCAUUAGGUGCCCGAAAGGGAAAGUGGACACAGGUGCUGCAUGGCUGUCGUCAGCUCGUGUCGUGAGAUGUUGGGUUAAGUCCCGCAACGAGCGCAACCCUUGUCUCUAGUUGCUACGAAAGGGCACUCUAGAGAGACUGCCGGUGACAAACCGGAGGAAGGUGGGGAUGACGUCAAGUCCUCAUGGCCCUUAUGGGUAGGGCUUCACACGUCAUACAAUGGUGCGUACAGAGGGUUGCCAACCCGCGAGGGGGAGCUAAUCCCAGAAAACGCAUCGUAGUCCGG
RNAcentral lists this ribosomal RNA (546 nucleotides) under uncultured bacterium. RNAcentral describes it as "bacterial SSU rRNA". It matches the Rfam family "Bacterial small subunit ribosomal RNA", at positions 746 to 1296 of the family's 1533-position model. The record is from RNAcentral.